AUUCAAGUGGCGUGGUGGGCUGAAGGGAUUUUAGGGAAAUGACACCGUUUGAUUCUAUGUCCUAAUAACUUAGCCAAAGUUUAAGACAUCUUCUUCCUCUCUUUUUGUCCUCCUCACAUCACCGAGAAUGUCCUCCUUAUGUAUCAAGCUUGCACUACCAAAUCCAUCCAUGAACCAAUUAGUGCGAACACUUUGAAUUUGGGCAACUUUAUCGAGCAUGCACCACCAACAUCCCUAAUUCGGCUGUUGCACUGCCUUGGUGGCAAGAAAUUAGAAAUUAGGGCUUCAAAAUUUAGGUGAAAGCUGGAGUUUAGAGCUUGAAGCUUGGGAAAAAUGAGAAGUUAGGGAUUGAAGGCAUAGUUUGAGAGAACUGCUCUAGAAGUUGUGAGAUUGUUGGCACAAAAUACCAAAGAAGUUGGAUUUGAGUUUCUUAAGUACGUGAAAGAGCAGAAACUGGUAGAAUUAGUAGGCUUGUUGUUGGUGGCUCGUGAAAAGGUUAUGCCUCGUUUAGAGGGACGUAUAAAGAUCCACAAUUUUGUCUUGAAAGAAGCCGUGUUUCUGAAUUUACAAGAAAUUAGGUCCUUGUAUGGCUCCGGUGAUGAGAAGUCCCUACGAGAGGUAAAAAAGAAGAAGGUGGAGAUGGAUUCAAUACUAUUAUUACUCAAAGUAUUUGACAGAAUUGGUGAUAAACUUUCGGCUUAUCUUCAGAUAGUGUGAAAAUAGGUAUUGACUACUUGUUUUACCUCUUCAAGGAUUGAGGUGGUCACUAGUUUAAACUAAAUCCUAAUAGUUAAACUAGAGAAGCAUACAAUGUAAGCCUCGAGUUUCUCUUCUUUGGUUGUGUUGUCGUUAUUAUAUUGUUCAACAAAUUUGGUGUUAUGUUCUACUUUUUGAAUUUUGGAUGUGAGAUUC
Molecule: non-coding RNA, 912 nt
Organism: Coffea arabica (coffee)
Lineage: Eukaryota; Viridiplantae; Streptophyta; Magnoliopsida; Gentianales; Rubiaceae
Source: RefSeq, a predicted model, not a curated record